UAGCGAAAGCAUUAAGUGAACCACCUGGGGAGUACGAUCGCAAGGUUGAAACUCAAAGGAAUUGACGGGGGCCCGCACAAGCGGAGGAACAUGUGGUUUAAUUCGAUGAUACGCGAGGAACCUUACCUGGGCUUAAAUGCAGAGUGCAUGCGGUGGAAACACCCUUCCCUUCGGGGCUCUCUGCAAGGUGCUGCAUGGUUGUCGUCAGCUCGUGCCGUGAGGUGUCGGGUUAAGUCCCAUAACGAGCGCAACCCUUACCGUUAGUUGCCAGCAGGUCAAGCUGGGGACUCUAGCGGGACUGCCACCGUAAGGUGAGAGGAAGGUGGGGAUGACGUCAAAUCAGCACGGCCCUUAUGUCCAGGGCUACACACGUGUUACAAUGGCCGGUACAGAGGGCAGCUACUCCGCGAGGAGAUGCUAAUCUUUAAAGCCGGUCUCAGUUCGGAUUGGAGUCUGCAACCCGACUCCAUGAAGUUGGAUUCGCUAGUAAUCGCGCAUCAGCCAUGGCGCGGUGAAUACGUUCCCGGGCCUUGUACACACCGCCCGUCAAACCAUGGGAGCUGGGGGUGCCUGAAGUCUGUGAUCCCGAUUUAUCGGGAAGCGGCCUAGGGUAAAACCAGUGACUGGGGUUAAGUCGUAACAAGGUAACCAAGGGCGAA
RNAcentral lists this ribosomal RNA (659 nucleotides) under uncultured bacterium. RNAcentral describes it as "bacterial SSU rRNA". It matches the Rfam family "Bacterial small subunit ribosomal RNA", at positions 848 to 1510 of the family's 1533-position model. The record is from RNAcentral.